UAGUGUACCAAUAUACACAGCGUAUAUUUACAUAUGUACACUAAAAAUAUUGUUCAAUCUAGGUAUAAUCAAACAGUUUAAAUUGACUACUUUACAAAUUGUAAAUGGGAAAAAUGUCAAAAAAAGCAUGAACUUUCAAAUUUGGGAUGAAAAAAACAUGAACUUCAAAAAUGCCACUAACAUCCUAAAGUUUUGUUUGACUUUAAUAAAAUAGUAAAGUUUCGUUGACUUCGCCAUUUUAGACAUGUCGUUAAGUUUCCGUUAACAAAAAAAACACAGCGUUAAUUUUCCGUUUAGUAUGUUCUGUUUCAGACAAAACGACGUCGUUUUGAAAAUCUAAAAUAAAAUAACGAUAGUAAGUCCACGAGGAUUCGAUCCAGUAACGUAUUGUUUUCCUCAGAUGCACACACCAUUAGGCCACGAUAUUAUUCUAGUACAGAUUGCAAACAGAUCUAUAUAACAUACUAGAUAAGGCCCGCCUAUUUAGGCGGGUGUACCCGAAAUUUUCAAAUACUCGAACGAGUCUAAACUUCAAAACCCGAAAACUCGAACUCGAAUCCGAAUAAGUAUUCAAACAUAUAUCAAAUAUAAGUAUAUAUUAGUUAUAUUUAUACUUAUAUAUAGAAAAUAUUAGGAUUUUUUUGGAUAUUUUAGUUAUUUUGUGUGUUUUUAGAUAUAUUCAAGCAAAACUACUCGUGUUGUUUUGAGAAUUUUUGAAAAUUUCAAGUAAUUUAAUAGAUUUGCACACAAAAUUUGAUAUUUCAAUAUAUAAAUAAACUCGAACCCGAACCCGAACCCAAACCAAACCCGACCCAAAAUCUUAGAUUACCCGAACGGGUCCUAAACUUUUAAAUCCGAAAACCCGAACCGAAUACCCAAACGUCUAGGGCUAAUAAUUAAUAAAAAAUCAAACAUUGUUGAAAAUAUAUUUUCUAUAUAUGCCGUAAUCUCGUAAGUUAAUUUUACAUCAUGCAAAUUAAUAUUAAAUGAGUUAAAAUUAAUAAAUGAAAAUAAUUGAAAAGUUAAAUCCUAUAAGCUAAGCUAUUUUUCUCAAAUUGUUCUAUUUUCACUUAUGAUUACAUGAGUUAAAGACAAAUUUGUUAAUUUUCCUUUUGUUGAAUAAAUGUUAAUUGUUUAUAAAUAUAUAGACAUAUAAAU
This 1158-nucleotide small RNA is filed under the name Arabidopsis thaliana (thale cress). RNAcentral's name for it is "ATSL287990". The record is from RNAcentral. Lineage: Eukaryota; Viridiplantae; Streptophyta; Magnoliopsida; Brassicales; Brassicaceae.